AUACGGAGGGUGCAAGCGUUAAUCGGAAUUACUGGGCGUAAAGCGUACGUAGGCGGUCCGUUAAGUUAGAUGUGGAAGCCCCGGGCUUAACCUGGGAACUGCAUUUAAAACUGGCGAACUAGAGUUGAGUAGAGGGGAGUGGAAUUUCAGGUGUAGCGGUGAAAUGCGUAGAGAUCUGAAGGAACACCAGUGGCAAAGGCGACUCCCUGGACUCGAACUGACGCUGAGGUACGAAAGCGUGGGUAGCAAACGGGAUUAGAUACCCUAGUAGUCC
This 274-nucleotide ribosomal RNA is filed under the name uncultured bacterium. RNAcentral's name for it is "partial 16S ribosomal RNA". It matches the Rfam family "Bacterial small subunit ribosomal RNA", at positions 523 to 796 of the family's 1533-position model. The record is from RNAcentral.